This 747-nucleotide ribosomal RNA is filed under the name uncultured fungus. Its description in RNAcentral is "eukaryotic LSU rRNA". It matches the Rfam family "Eukaryotic large subunit ribosomal RNA", at positions 62 to 648 of the family's 3401-position model. Lineage: Eukaryota; Fungi. The record is from RNAcentral.
AAACUAACAAGGAUUUCCCUAGUAACGGCGAGUGAAGCGGAAUGAGCUCAAGCUUAAAAUCUCUAUGCAAGUUUUGCAUGGCGAAUUGUAGUCUAUAGAGGCGAUGUCAGUGCAGCUGUUUGGGACAAGUUCCUUGGAAGAGGACAGCAUUGAGGGUGAUACUCCCGUCUUUGCCUAAAUAGCUUGCGCGUACGACACGUUUUCUUUGAGUCGUGUUGUUUGGGAAUGCAGCACAAAGUAGGUGGUAAAUUCCAUCUAAAGCUAAAUAUUGGUGCGGGACCGAUAGCGAACAAGUACCGUGAGGGAAAGAUGAAAAGAACUUUGAAAAGAGAGUUAAAGAGUACCUGAAACUGUUGAAAGGGAACCGAAUCGUUUCCAGUGUCUUAAUCUGCGGCAUAUUUCAUUGGCGAGUAAAUGCGCUGGGCUGUUUAGAAGUAGUUUAUUCUGCGCUUUCGGUCUAUUCUGCGUUUGCUUGCUGGUGCCCUGUGCUGUGGUGUGACGUCAAAGUCAGUUUGUAUGCCGCGGGAAAUGGUUAUUGAGGAGGUAGGUCGAAUUCGUUUGGCUAUUAUAUCUUGGUAACUAGUCGUCGUGGUUGAGACUGAGGUGCCUACAACGUGCUUUAAAGUCUUAUGGGCAUUUAUCUGGUUACCUGUUUGGAAUGCUUGCAUUGCUGACGGACUAAUUGGGUGAUUGUGUCUGUGAGUAACUUUUGCCGUUCGGGACUUUGACGAAAUGGAGCGAUCCGUC